CCCUUAGAUGUUCUGGGCCGCACACGCGCUACACUGAAGGAGGCAGCGUGUACUCCUGGAUCGAAAGAUUUGGGUAACCCGCGAAUCUCCUUCGUGCUAGGGAUUGAGGUUUGCAAUUAUCCUUCAUGAACGAGGAAUUCCCAGUAAGUGCAAGUCAUAAGCUUGCGCUGACUACGUCCCUGCCCUUUGUACACACCGCCCGUCGCUACUACCGAUUGAAUGAUUUAGUGAGGACUUCGGACUGGGACCGAUGCGGCUUUCGGGCUGCGUCGGUAUUCUGGAAAGAUGUCCAAACUGUAUCAUUUAGAGGAAGUAAAAGUCGUAACU
RNAcentral lists this ribosomal RNA (327 nucleotides) under uncultured eukaryote. RNAcentral's name for it is "partial 18S ribosomal RNA". It matches the Rfam family "Eukaryotic small subunit ribosomal RNA", at positions 1470 to 1796 of the family's 1831-position model. The record is from RNAcentral.